CAGCAGCCGCGGUAAUACGUAGGUGGCAAGCGUUGUCCGGAAUUAUUGGGCGUAAAGGGCCCGCAGGCGGUUUCUUAAGUCUGAUGUGAAAGCCCCCGGCUCAACCGGGGAGGGUCAUUGGAAACUGGGAAACUUGAGUGCAGAAGAGGAGAGUGGAAUUCCACGUGUAGCGGUGAAAUGCGUAGAGAUGUGGAGGAACACCAGUGGCGAAGGCGACUCUCUGGUCUGUAACUGACGCUGAGGAGCGAAAGCGUGGGGAGCGAACAGGAUUAGAUACCCGUGUAGUCCCUGUCUCUUAUAC
Molecule: ribosomal RNA, 301 nt
Filed under: uncultured bacterium
Lineage: Bacteria
Description: partial 16S ribosomal RNA
Rfam family: Bacterial small subunit ribosomal RNA
Source: RNAcentral